RNAcentral lists this ribosomal RNA (433 nucleotides) under uncultured bacterium. RNAcentral describes it as "bacterial SSU rRNA". It matches the Rfam family "Bacterial small subunit ribosomal RNA", at positions 29 to 460 of the family's 1533-position model. The record is from RNAcentral.
AUUGAACGCUGGCGGCAUGCCUAACACAUGCAAGUCGAACGGCAGCACGGCAGUAGCAAUACUGUGGGUGGCGAGUGGCGGACGGGUGAGGAAUACGUCGGAAUCUGCCCAGUCGUGGGGGAUAACUAGCCGAAAGGUUAGCUAAUACCGCAUACGACCGAGAGGUGAAAGCGGGGGACCGCAAGGCCUCGCGCGAUUGGAUGAGCCGACGUCGGAUUAGCUAGUUGGUGGGUAAAGGCCCACCAAGGCGACGAUCCGUAGCUGGUCUGAGAGGAUGAUCAGCCACACUGGAACUGAGACACGGUCCAGACUCCUACGGGAGACAGCAGUGGGGAAUAUUGGACAAUGGGCGCAAGCCUGAUCCAGCAAUGCCGCGUGUGUGAAGAAGGCCUCGGUUGUAAGUACGACUUUAUCUAGACGAAAGACGUAGGAG